This 466-nucleotide ribosomal RNA is filed under the name uncultured bacterium. Its description in RNAcentral is "bacterial SSU rRNA". It matches the Rfam family "Bacterial small subunit ribosomal RNA", at positions 328 to 792 of the family's 1533-position model. The record is from RNAcentral.
UUUCCAGACUCCUACGGGAGGCAGCAGUGAGGAAUAUUGGUCAAUGGGCGGGAGCCUGAACCAGCCAAGCCGCGUGAGGGAAGAAGGUACAGCGUAUCGUAAACCUCUUUUGUCAGGGAACAAAGGCGGGGACUAGUCCCCGGAUGAGGGUACCUGAAGAAAAAGCAUCGGCUAACUCCGUGCCAGCAGCCGCGGUAAUACGGAGGAUGCGAGCGUUAUCCGGAUUUAUUGGGUUUAAAGGGUGCGCAGGCGGCCGGUUAAGUCGGGGGUAAAGGCCGGGGGCUCAACCCCGGCGAGCCGUUGAAACUGGCGGGCUGGAGUUGGAGAGAAGUACGCGGAAUGCGCGGUGUAGCGGUGAAAUGCUUAGAUAUCGCGCAGAACCCCGAUUGCGAAGGCAGCGUACCGGCUCCACACUGACGCUGAGGCACGAAAGCGUGGGUAUCGAACAGGAUUAGAUACCCCGGUA